Long non-coding RNA from Equus caballus (horse), 1794 nucleotides. The record is from Ensembl. Lineage: Eukaryota; Metazoa; Chordata; Mammalia; Perissodactyla; Equidae.
AGGUGCAGCAGCAGAAGUCCACUCACCGAGAUGUGUUAAAAUGGGGAGCUAGAAUUUCACAGCAAAUACAGUGAAAUGAAGAGCACCACUGGGACUUUAUCUUGAAAAAUGAAAUGCAAAGGUCAUAACAGACUUUUAAAGAAAUCUUAUAUUCAACGAAAUAUAGAAUAUUACUGCAGCUAAGCACACAUUCCAUAACCUGAAGAAUGAAGUUGGGUUUUAGCAUCCUUCAGAUCGCAUCAGACUUCCAGCGCAUCACAGAGAGGACCCGUUUCCUAAAAGUAUUUGAGGGUUUCAUCUGUUCCUAAGCAUCAUUUCAAUCUGCCGCUAUGCACAUCUGUUCUCUUUGGAAGCAUUACCUUUAGAAAGAUCUUUUCGUCCACUGUCCCCACCAGUCAAAGCCUUGCUGAGUGGCUGGAGCCGUUGCCAACAUCACUCUCUUUGACUUCCUGCAGCCCUGCGUCUUUGCCCCAUUGUACCACUGAGUGACAACACAGGACAGUCAGCAGAGAUGACCUUACGACACCAAGGGAGCUUGUGUUACACGGGAAGCCAUGUCUGAGUGGGACUCAGUUUUUUAAGUGGCCAAUUCGUGAGUGAAUGUUUCCAUGUUCCGAGGCCUGUGCCUCCCUCUGUGAGCUCAUGCCAGAGGCCCCUGCUAAUUAAUUCAGAUACGAGGAGGCACCCGCAUGGCAACAGGGUGCUACGGGGUUUCGGAGGAAGAGCACCUAUCUUUUUAUUUGUUCCUAAACGUGCCAGUCUGAUCAUAGAAGCAUGCAAAAUUGACUGACGCCCCAUGACUAGUCAAAGACCUUACAUCUAUUCUCUAACCGAGUUCUCCACCAGCACUCUGUGAAACAGGUUAUUACUACUAUUUUCCUACAGAUUAAGAAAUUGGAAGGGUGGAGAUUGAAGUGACUGCCCAAGUGGUGGCCUCAGACUUGAACCCACAACCUUCCAGCUCCCAAAGUCACCCAUGCACGCUCCCUCUACGUUUCUUUUCUCUCUAAGUAUUUUUUUUCUUUUCAGCUGAGCCCUGAGCCCUAUUUCUGAGUGAGACAGCCCCACUGGGAUAUCUCAGGAACUGAAGCUGCUUGAUGGGGUAAUUUUCCUCUGAUAGCCCAUGAGAGACAUUACCGGGGUGAGAAGAGCUACGAGCUACCGAGCACAUGCUCAGUGCCAGGCCCUGUGCUCCUGUUUGUCGAGCACUGUCUUCCAUUUCUUCAGAGGAAGGAGGAGAUGAAUCCCAAACCAAGGAAGUGAAAGAAUCGGAAUAGUCAAGAGCUGUGGGAGCUAACGGAGGAAGCUGCAAAACUGGAAGUGAUGGAGGCGAAGCCCGGGAUUGACAGGGAGUGAACAGGCAGGAGAAGAACAUGGACAGCUCAUGAGCUGAUUGUGGUAACCAGCUUCCAAGAUGGCACCCCACCCCCAGUGAUCCUUGCCCUCUGCCGUUCAGACCCUUCUGUCGUCUCCUUCUGAUACUGAAUCAGAGCUGGUCUGUGUGACCGGUAGAACACGGUGGAUGAGACGGUGUGUGCUUUGUGAGGCUACCUCAUAAAAGACCUUCUGGGGCCACUUGGGUCACUCGUUCUGAAGGAAGCCAACUGCCAUGCUGUGAGUUCACUCGAGCAGCUGUGUGGAGAGGCCUGCAUGGAGAGGAGCCAAGGCCUCCUGCCAACAGCGCUGUGAAUGACUGCUCAUUGCAAAUGGAUCCUCCAGCCCCAGUCAAGCCUUCAGAUGACGGUAGUCCUGCCUGACAUCUGACAGCAACCUCAUGAGAGACCCCCAAGCCAC